This 326-nucleotide ribosomal RNA is filed under the name uncultured myxomycete. RNAcentral's name for it is "partial small subunit ribosomal RNA". It matches the Rfam family "Eukaryotic small subunit ribosomal RNA", at positions 80 to 362 of the family's 1831-position model. Lineage: Eukaryota; Evosea; Eumycetozoa. The record is from RNAcentral.
UCUGAAUUUGGGWACGGCUCCGCAAACCAGUUGUAAACCGAGGCAGGGCUCCCUCCCGCGGUCCCGUUUCGGUGGGACCGCGGGUUAACAUAUGGAUAACCGUGGUAAUUCUGAGGCUAAUACAUGACGUACAAAACCUCGCUCYGGGCUUGCCUGGGGCGGGGGGGCGUGCGACUCAAGGCUGGGGUAGCAUCCAUGACAGAACGCACGCUCGGACCACCGCUAAGGGUGAGGGGCUUCGGCUCGGAUCCUGGUGGCCCCCGCAAUGUGCUUCUGACCUAUCAACUAGACGGCAGCGUAAGGGACAUGCUAUGGUGACAACGGUA